This is a long non-coding RNA of Alosa sapidissima (American shad), 160 nucleotides long. RefSeq lists it as uncharacterized. NCBI's taxonomy places the organism in Eukaryota, Metazoa, Chordata, Actinopteri, Clupeiformes, Clupeidae. The transcript has 3 exons. The record is from RefSeq and is a predicted model, not a curated record.
GCUGUAGUGUUAAUACACUACACUAAGGAAUUGCUUGUAAGCUCAGUUUUAGAAUCCCAGUCCACUUUAGUCUGAUUUUUCAAGGCAAUCGGUUUCCAUGGUUUUUUUAAGUAAGGUUUACUUAUUGGAUUUUACAGUGUACCUUACAUAUAAAUAUGAU